RNAcentral lists this ribosomal RNA (1426 nucleotides) under Shewanella sp. SC2A. RNAcentral describes it as "partial 16S ribosomal RNA". It matches the Rfam family "Bacterial small subunit ribosomal RNA". The record is from RNAcentral. Lineage: Bacteria; Pseudomonadati; Pseudomonadota; Gammaproteobacteria; Alteromonadales; Shewanellaceae.
CGCUGGCGGCAGGCCUAACACAUGCAAGUCGAGCGGUAACACACAAGGGAGCUUGCUCCUNAGGUGACGAGCGGCGGACGGGUGAGUAAUGCCUAGGGAUCUGCCCAGUCGAGGGGGAUAACAGUUGGAAACGACUGCUAAUACCGCAUACGCCUACGGGGGAAAGGAGGGGACCUUCGGGCCUUCCGCGAUUGGAUGAACCUAGGUGGGAUUAGCUAGUUGGUGAGGUAAUGGCUCACCAAGGCGACGAUCCCUAGCUGUUCUGAGAGGAUGAUUAGCCACACUGGGACUGAGACACGGCCCNGNCUCCUACGGGAGGCAGCAGUGGGGAAUAUUGCACAAUGGGGGAAACCCCUAUGCAGCCAUGCCGCGUGUGUGAAGAAGGCCUUCGGGUUGUAAAGCACUUUCAGGUAGGAGGAAAGGUNAUAGUUUAAUNAACUAUUACUNUGACGUUACCUACAGAAGAAGGACCGGCUAACUCCGUGCCAGCAGCCGCGGUAAUACGGAGNGUCCNHGCGUUAAUCGGAAUUACUGGGCGUAAAGCGUGCGCAGGCNNUUUGUUAAGCCAGAUGUGAAAUCCCCGGGCUCAACCUGGGNAUUGCAUUUGGAACUGGCGAACUAGAGUCUUGUAGAGGGGGGUAGAAUUCCAGGUGUAGCGGUGAAAUGCGUAGAUAUCUGGAGGAAUACCNGUGGCGAAGGCGGCCCCCUGGACAAAGACUNACGCUCAUGCACNNHAGCGUGGGGAGCAAACAGGAUUAGAUACCCUNGUAGUCCACGCCGUAAACGAUGUCUACUCGGAGUUUGGUGACUUAGUCACUGGGCUCCNAACUGAACGCAUUAAGUAGACCUGCCUGGGAGUACGGCCGCAAGGUUAAAACUCHAAUNAAUUGACGGGGGCHGCACAAGCGGUGGAGCAUGUGGUUUNAUUCNNNNNAACGCGAAGAACCUUACCUACUCUUGACAUCCACAGAAGAGACCAGAGAUGGACUUGUGCUUCGGGAACUGUGAGACAGGUGCUGCAUGGCNGUCGUCNGCNCGUGUUGUGAAAUGUUGGGUUAAGUCCCNCAACGAGCGCAACCCCUAUCCUUAUUUGCCAGCACUAAGUGGGWACUCUAGGGAGACUGCCGGUGAUNAACCGGAGGAAGGUGGGGACGACGUCAAGUCAUCAUGNAAUUACGAGUAGGGCUACACACGUGCUACAAUGGCGUAUACAGAGGGUUGCWAAGCCGCGAGGUGGAGCUAAUCUCACAAAGUACGUCGUAGUCCGGAUCGGAGUCUGCNACUCGACUCCGUGAAGUCGGAAUCGCUAGUAAUCGUGGAUCNGAAUGCCACGGUGAAUACGUUCCCNGGHNUUGUACACACCGNNNGUCNCNCCAUGGGAGUGGGCUGCAAAAGNNGUGGGUAGUUUAGACNUCGGGAGAACAGC